GACGAACGCUGGCGGCGUGCUUAACACAUGCAAGUCGAACGGAAAGGCCCUGCUUUUGUGGGGUGCUCGAGUGGCGAACGGGUGUGUAACAUGUGAGUAUCCUGCCCUUUACUUUGGGAUAAAUUCAGGAAACUGGGGCUACCACCGGAUAGGAGCUCCUGAUGCAUGGUGGGGGUUGGAAAGUUUCGGCGGUUGGGGAUGGACUCGCGGCUUAUCAGCUUGUUGGUGGGGUAGUGGCUUACCUAGGCUUUGACGGGUAGCCGGCCUGGGAGGGUGACCGGCCACGUUAGGACUGAGAUACGGCCCAGACUCCAACGGGAGGCAGCAGUGGAGAAGAUUGCACAAUGGACGGAAGCCUAAUGCAGCAACGCCGCGUGCGGGAUGACGGCCUUCGGUUUGUAAACCGCUUUCGCCUGUGACGAAGCGUGAGUGACGGUAAUGGGUAAAGAAGCACCGGCUAACUACGUG
This 468-nucleotide ribosomal RNA is filed under the name uncultured bacterium. Its description in RNAcentral is "partial 16S ribosomal RNA". It matches the Rfam family "Bacterial small subunit ribosomal RNA", at positions 28 to 507 of the family's 1533-position model. The record is from RNAcentral.